UACGAAGGGUGCAAGCGUUGCUCGGAAUCAUUGGGCGUAAAGCGCACGUAGGCGGCCUGGUAAGUCGGAUGUGAAAUCCCACGGCUCAACCGUGGAAGUGCAUCCGAAACUGCUUGGCUCGAGUAUGGAAGAGGGUCGCAGAAUUCCCGGUGUAGAGGUGAAAUUCGUAGAUAUCGGGAGGAAUACCAGUGGCGAAGGCGGCGACCUGGGCCAAUACUGACGCUGAGGUGCGAAAGCGUGGGGAGCAAACAGG
RNAcentral lists this ribosomal RNA (253 nucleotides) under uncultured bacterium. RNAcentral's name for it is "partial 16S ribosomal RNA". It matches the Rfam family "Bacterial small subunit ribosomal RNA", at positions 524 to 776 of the family's 1533-position model. The record is from RNAcentral.